AAAAAAAUCCGUCGAACCGGAUUCGAACCAGUGACCUAAGGAUAUCUGCGAACUCUACAGUCCUCCGCUCUACCAACUGAGCUAUCGACGGCACGGCACAGAGGCGCCUAGAGGGCAAUUAAAAGUGUCUUUAUUGACAAGACAGAAAAGAAUGAUAGCAGAGGAGGAGUGACGUCACUCCGGGGGUCCAUGAUAUUUUCAGA
This is a non-coding RNA of Caenorhabditis elegans, 203 nucleotides long. NCBI's taxonomy places the organism in Eukaryota, Metazoa, Nematoda, Chromadorea, Rhabditida, Rhabditidae. The record is from Ensembl.